AUUGAACGCUGGCGGCAGGCUUAACACAUGCAAGUCGAGCGGGGUGAUGGUGCUUGCACUAUCACUUAGCGACGGACGGGUGAGUAAUGCUUAGGAAUCUGCCUAUUAGUGGGGGACAACGUCUCGAAAGGGAUGCUAAUACCGCAUACGUCCUACGGGAGAAAGCAGGGGAUCACUUGUGACCUUGCGCUACUAGAUGAGUCUCAGUCGGAUUAGCUAGUUGGUGGGGUAAAGGCCUACCAAGGCGACGAUCUGUAGCGGGUCUGAGAGGCUGAUCAGCCACACUGGGACUGAGACACGGCCCAGACUCCUACGGGAGGCAGCAGUGGGGAAUAUUGGACAAUGGGGGGAACCCUGAUCCAGCCAUGCCGCGUGUGUGAAGAAGGCCUUAUGGUUGUAAAGCACUUUAAGCGAGGAGGAGGCUCUUUUGGUUAAUACCCAAGAUGAGUGGACGUUACUCGCAGAAUAAGCACCGGCUAACUCUGUGCCAGCCGCCGCAGUAA
This 503-nucleotide ribosomal RNA is filed under the name uncultured bacterium. RNAcentral describes it as "partial 16S ribosomal RNA". It matches the Rfam family "Bacterial small subunit ribosomal RNA", at positions 30 to 523 of the family's 1533-position model. The record is from RNAcentral.